AGUGAACGCUGGCGGUAGGCCUAACACAUGCAAGUCGAACGGCAGCACAGUAAGAGCUUGCUCUUACGGGUGGCGAGUGGCGGACGGGUGAGGAAUACAUCGGAAUCUACUUUUUCGUGGGGAUAACGUAGGGAAACUUACGCUAAUACCGCAUACGACCUACGGGUGAAAGCAGGGGAUCUUCGGACCUUGCGCGAUUGAAUGAGCCGAUGUCGGAUUAGCUAGUUGGCGGGGUAAAGGCCCACCAAGGCGACGAUCCGUAGCUGGUCUGAGAGGAUGAUCAGCCACACUGGAACUGAGACACGGUCCAGACUCCUACGGGAGGCAGCAGUGGGGAAUAUUGGACAAUGGGCGCAAGCCUGAUCCAGCCAUACCGCGUGGGUGAAGAAGGCCUUCGGGUUGUAAGGCCCUUUUGUUGGGAAAGAAAAGCAGCAGGUUAAUACCCCGCUGUUCUGACGGUACCCAAAGAAUAAGCACCGGCUAACUUCGUG
RNAcentral lists this ribosomal RNA (491 nucleotides) under uncultured bacterium. RNAcentral describes it as "partial 16S ribosomal RNA". It matches the Rfam family "Bacterial small subunit ribosomal RNA", at positions 29 to 507 of the family's 1533-position model. The record is from RNAcentral.